This 1054-nucleotide unclassified non-coding RNA is filed under the name leaf metagenome. RNAcentral's name for it is "partial contains internal transcribed spacer 1, 5.8S ribosomal RNA, internal transcribed spacer 2, and large subunit ribosomal RNA". The stretch from base 491 to 1054 matches the Rfam family "Eukaryotic large subunit ribosomal RNA", at positions 1 to 576 of the family's 3401-position model. The record is from RNAcentral.
UUACUGAGUUUACGCUCUACAACCCUUUGUGAACAUACCUAUAACUGUUGCUUCGGCGGGUAGGGUCUCCGUGACCCUCCCGGCCUCCCGCCCCCGGGCGGGUCGGCGCCCGCCGGAGGAUAACCAAACUCUGAUUUAACGACGUUUCUUCUGAGUGGUACAAGCAAAUAAUCAAAACUUUUAACAACGGAUCUCUUGGUUCUGGCAUCGAUGAAGAACGCAGCGAAAUGCGAUAAGUAAUGUGAAUUGCAGAAUUCAGUGAAUCAUCGAAUCUUUGAACGCACAUUGCGCCCGCCAGCAUUCUGGCGGGCAUGCCUGUUCGAGCGUCAUUUCAACCCUCAAGCUCUGCUUGGUGUUGGGGCCCUACAGCUGAUGUAGGCCCUCAAAGGUAGUGGCGGACCCUCCCGGAGCCUCCUUUGCGUAGUAACUUUACGUCUCGCACUGGGAUCCGGAGGGACUCUUGCCGUAAAACCCCCAAUUUUCCAAAGGUUGACCUCGGAUCAGGUAGGAAUACCCGCUGAACUUAAGCAUAUCAAUAAGCGGAGGAAAAGAAACCAACAGGGAUUGCCUCAGUAACGGCGAGUGAAGCGGCAACAGCUCAAAUUUGAAAUCUGGCCCUAGGCCCGAGUUGUAAUUUGCAGAGGAUGCUUUUGGUGCGGUGCCUUCCAAGUUCCCUAGAACGGGACGCCAGAGAGGGUGAGAGCCCCGUACAGUUGGACACCAAGCCUUUGUAAAGCUCCUUCGACGAGUCGAGUAGUUUGGGAAUGCUGCUCAAAAUGGGAGGUAUAUUUCUUCUAAAGCUAAAUACCGGCCAGAGACCGAUAGCGCACAAGUAGAGUGAUCGAAAGAUGAAAAGCACUUUGAAAAGAGGGUUAAACAGCACGUGAAAUUGUUAAAAGGGAAGCGCUUGUGACCAGACUUGCGUCCGGUGAAUCACCCAGCUCUCGCGGCUGGGGCACUUCGCCGGCUCAGGCCAGCAUCAGCUCGCUGUCGGGGACAAAAGCUUCAGGAACGUAGCUCUCUUCGGGGAGUGUUAUAGCCUGUUGCAUAAUAC